RNAcentral lists this ribosomal RNA (497 nucleotides) under uncultured bacterium. RNAcentral describes it as "partial 16S ribosomal RNA". It matches the Rfam family "Bacterial small subunit ribosomal RNA", at positions 28 to 507 of the family's 1533-position model. The record is from RNAcentral.
GACGAACGCUGGCGGCGUGCCUAAUACAUGCAAGUUGAGCGCUGAAGGUUGGUACUUGUACCAACUGGAUGAGCAGCGCACGGGUGAGUAACGCGUGGGGAAUCUGCCUUUGAGCGGGGGACAACAUUUGGAAACGAAUGCUAAUACCGCAUAAAAACUUUAAACACAAGUUUUAAGUUUGAAAGAUGCAAUUGCAUCACUCAAAGAUGAUCCCGCGUUGUAUUAGCUAGUUGGUGAGGUAAAGGCUCACCAAGGCGAUGAUACAUAGCCGACCUGAGAGGGUGAGCGGCCACAUUGGGACUGAGACACGGCCCAAACUCCUACGGGAGGCAGCAGUAGGGAAUCUUCGGCAAUGGACGAAAGUCUGACCGAGCAACGCCGCGUGAGUGAAGAAGGGUGUCGGAUCGUAAAACUCUGUUGGUAGAGAAGAACGUUGGUGAGAGUGGAAAGCUCAUCAAGUGACGGUAACUACCCAGAAAGGGACGGCUAACUACGUG